UACGAAGGGGGCUAGCGUUGCUCGGAAUCACUGGGCGUAAAGCGCACGUAGGCGGAUUUCUAAGUCAGGGGUGAAAUCCUGGAGCUCAACUCCAGAACUGCCUUUGAUACUGGGAAUCUCGAGUCCGGGAGAGGUGAGUGGAACUGCGAGUGUAGAGGUGAAAUUCGUAGAUAUUCGCAAGAACACCAGUGGCGAAGGCGGCUCACUGGCCCGGUACUGACGCUGAGGUGCGAAAGCGUGGGGAGCAAACAGGG
This 254-nucleotide ribosomal RNA is filed under the name uncultured bacterium. RNAcentral describes it as "partial 16S ribosomal RNA". It matches the Rfam family "Bacterial small subunit ribosomal RNA", at positions 524 to 777 of the family's 1533-position model. The record is from RNAcentral.